Molecule: ribosomal RNA, 403 nt
Filed under: uncultured bacterium
Lineage: Bacteria
Description: bacterial SSU rRNA
Rfam family: Bacterial small subunit ribosomal RNA
Source: RNAcentral
CCAUGCCGCGUGCAGGAAGACGGCCCUAUGGGUUGUAAACUGCUUUUAUACAGGAAGAAACCCUUGGACGAGUCUGGGGCUGACGGUACUGUAAGAAUAAGCACCGGCUAACUCCGUGCCAGCAGCCGCGGUAAUACGGAGGGUGCAAGCGUUAUCCGGAAUCAUUGGGUUUAAAGGGUCCGUAGGCGGAUUGAUAAGUCAGAGGUGAAAUCCCACAGCUUAACUGUGGAACUGCCUUUGAUACUGUUAGUCUUGAGUUAUGUGGAAGUAGAUAGAAUGUGUAGUGUAGCGGUGAAAUGCAUAGAGAUUACACAGAAGAGCGAACAGGAUUAGAUACCCUGGUAGUCCACGCCGUAAACGAUGGACACUAGUUGUUGGAUUUUUUCAGUGACUAAGCGAAAGC